RNAcentral lists this ribosomal RNA (316 nucleotides) under uncultured Ruminococcus sp. RNAcentral describes it as "partial 16S ribosomal RNA". Lineage: Bacteria; Bacillati; Bacillota; Clostridia; Eubacteriales; Oscillospiraceae. The record is from RNAcentral.
GGAGUCUGGGCCGUGUCUCAGUCCCAAUGUGGCCGUUCAACCUCUCAGUCCGGCUACUGAUCGUCGACUUGGUGAGCCGUUACCUCACCAACUAUCUAAUCAGACGCGAGCCCAUCUUUGAGUGAUAAAUCUUUGAUAAUCAAAGGAUGCCCUUCAAUUAUGUUAUGAGGUAUUACCAUCCGUUUCCAGAAGCUAUCCCUCUCUCAAAGGCAGGUUGCUCACGUGUUACUCACCCGUCCGCCACUAAGAUAAUCCAAGUAAACUCAAAUUAUCUCCGUUCGACUUGCAUGUGUUAAGCGUGCCGCCAGCGUUCGUC